RNAcentral lists this ribosomal RNA (382 nucleotides) under uncultured eukaryote. RNAcentral's name for it is "partial 18S ribosomal RNA". It matches the Rfam family "Eukaryotic small subunit ribosomal RNA", at positions 592 to 976 of the family's 1831-position model. The record is from RNAcentral.
CAAUAGCGUAUAUUAAAGUUGUUGCAGUUAAAAAGCUCGUAGUUGGAUUUCUGGUUGAAGCGACCGGUCGGGCGUUGAUUCGUCUGCACUGGAGUCGGUUUUGGCCAUCCUCUAGGAAAGUGCGUCUGGUAUUAAGUUAUCGGGCGUAUGAUCCUGGUCUUUUACUGUGAAAAAAUUAGAGUGUUUAAAGCAGGCCUUCGCCUUGGAUACAUUAGCAUGGAAUAAUAAGAUAGGACUUUGGUCUAUUUUGUUGGUUUGCAGACCGAAGUAAUGAUUAAUAGGGAUAGUUGGGGGUAUUUAUAUUCCGAUGUCAGAGGUGAAAUUCUUAGAUUUUCGGAAGAUAAACUUAUGCGAAAGCAUUUACCAAGGAUGUUUNCAUUAA